GCAGUAGCCGCGGUAAAACGUAGGGCGCAAGCGUUAUCCGGAAUUAUUGGGCGUAAAGAGCUCGUAGGCGGUUUGUCGCGUCUGCCGUGAAAGUCCGGGGCUCAACCCCGGAUCUGCGGUGGGCACGGGCAGACUAGAGUGAUGUAGGGGAGACUGGAAUUCCUGGUGUAGCGGUGAAAUGCGCAGAUAUCAGGAGGAACACCGAUGGCGAAGGCAGGUCUCUGGGCAUUAACUGACGCUGAGGAGCGAAAGCAUGGGGAGCGAACAGGAUUAGAUACCCCGGUAGUCCCUGUCUCUUAUAC
RNAcentral lists this ribosomal RNA (302 nucleotides) under uncultured bacterium. RNAcentral's name for it is "partial 16S ribosomal RNA". It matches the Rfam family "Bacterial small subunit ribosomal RNA", at positions 508 to 807 of the family's 1533-position model. The record is from RNAcentral.